GAUGAACGCUGGCGGCGUGCCUAAUACAUGCAAGUCGAGCGAACGGACGAGAAGCUUGCUUCUCUGAUGUUAGCGUCGGACGGGUGAGUAACACGUGGAUAACCUACCUAUAAGACUGGGAUAACUUCGGGAAAACGGAGCUAAUACCGGCUAAUAUUUUAAACCGCAUGGUUCAAAAGUGACAGACGGUCUUGCUGUCACUUAUAGCUGGAUCCGCGCUGCAUUAGCUAGUUGGUAAGGUAACGGCUUACCAAGGCAACGAUGCAUAGCCGACCUGAGAGGGUGAUCGGCCACACUGGAACUGAGACACGGUCCAGACUCCUACGGGAGGCAGCAGUAGGGAAUCUUCCGCAAUGGGCGAAAGCCUGAUGGAGCAACGCCGCGUGAGUGAUGAAGGCCUUCGGAUCGUAAAACUCUGUUAUUAGGGAAGAACAUAUGUGUAAGUAACUGUUCACAGCUUGACGGUACCUAAUCAGAAAGCCACGGCUAACUACGUG
Molecule: ribosomal RNA, 497 nt
Filed under: uncultured bacterium
Lineage: Bacteria
Description: partial 16S ribosomal RNA
Rfam family: Bacterial small subunit ribosomal RNA
Source: RNAcentral